GUUGCUCUGGGCGUCUUGUGCCUGCUUGAAGAUGUGAGAGCUCUGUUUUUCCUCUGGCCACCUCAUUAUGCCUCCCUGCCAUGACAGACUCUAAUCCCUCUGGAACCCAGAACACUGACUUGGAGAUUUAAGGGGUCCUGUCUCACCGCCCUUGCUACAAGAUACCCAAACCACCGUGGUUCCCAGAAGAUCUAAUGAAGUAUGGGUAUAUUCAGCGUGGAAGCCACCUCACUGUUUCUGUGAAACCAGAUUCUCAGCUCUGUUUCUAAAGGGAGUACUAUGGAACAGAAAGAAGAAGAGGUCUAGUCUGGUAUCGAUCCUGCUUGUACAGUGAUCCAUGUGCCUCUCAACAGUAAUAGCUAAGGACUUCUAGGAGAAAGAAAAUGAGCACUACAAAACAGAACAGAACAGAACAGAACAAAGAAAAAAAACCAAACCAACCAACAAAAACAAAGGGAAUCCAAACAGACCCUUCACCACAGGCAGCUGGAGAAAUGCUGUUACUGGUGUGAGUCCCCUUAGAACUGGCUGCUUAUCCUAUUUGAACAUCAAGGUACACAUUUGUGAUGCUCAGAAAAUUUAUUCCGUCGAAAAAGUAAACUAUGCCUGACUCAAAGCUGAGGAAGGGCAUUUUUUAUUGGAGAGAAUGAUUUGGAUUGGGAAAAGAGGAAAA
Molecule: long non-coding RNA, 673 nt
Organism: Nannospalax galili (Upper Galilee mountains blind mole rat)
Lineage: Eukaryota; Metazoa; Chordata; Mammalia; Rodentia; Spalacidae
Exons: 4
Source: RefSeq, a predicted model, not a curated record